Molecule: RNA transcript, 4287 nt
Organism: Pan troglodytes (chimpanzee)
Lineage: Eukaryota; Metazoa; Chordata; Mammalia; Primates; Hominidae
Gene: PPP1R3E
Gene name: protein phosphatase 1 regulatory subunit 3E
Exons: 3
Source: RefSeq, a predicted model, not a curated record
GCGUGGGGGCGUGGAGGCGUGGGGGCGGGGGGAGUGAGCGGAACCAAAGAAGCUCCGGGAGAUCCGGGUGUUAAAAGCUGGUUGGAUGUGAGUGGAAGGAACUCAGAAUAUAGGAGGAAGGAGACCCGAAACGGCACCGGAGGGAUUAUAAAAAAAAGGAAAAGAAUGGGGAUGAUGGUGGCCUUCCCUUCAGUGAGUGGGCUCUGGGAGAAAGGGAGGAGGAUCCAUCAGGCCUAGGCGGUUGAAGAAGGUUAAGAACCUUUUGGAGAUGGAGGAGGUAUGAUGUGAAGUAGCCCACCCCGUCGAAGGCAUUUACAUUGCUGGCGCAUUCCCUCCUCUUACCGGCCUUUUCCACCUCAGAUCCCCCUGUCCUACCCAUCCUAGCUUUAACUCAGCCAUAAUUGCCUUGCUUAAUCCCAGGAACCUGGCCACUGCUCCUUGGUCCUUGGCAUUAUGACGGGAUUCCCUUGUCACCUCUGACAGUUCCUGGCUGCGGUGUCCGCGGACUGGCUGGGGAGUGAUGACAGGUAGCCAUCAGAGCUCCAGCCUCCAGGCAGCUUUAGGGAUUAAAACGGAGGCCAAAGCAACUCCAGACCUGUUUUUAUAGCCAAAUACUGAGCCUCAGUGGUUGUACACUCAGGGGCUUCCAGGAAAAUGCCAGCCUUACUUUUCUGGGGUGCCUUUUAAUAACCUCCAAGCACUUUAUGGACUGUUUGUCGAGGGACGGUGAAUCAGGAGAAUCACUAUUCUGAUUUCCUUUGUCUCCGAAGAGGAAGUCCCUGACUAGCUAUAUAACUUUGGGCAAGUUACCUCUCACCUCUUUGUGCCCCAGUGUUCUCCUUGGGAAACUGGAUUUAGGUUAGAUGAUCUUUUAAGGCUCCUUGUAUGAUAUUUUGUGAUCUGUGCAUGGCAGAGUAUAGAUUAGAAGCCACAUUUUCCAACCUAGUGCUAUAGUUCAGAAUACAUAGCACCCCAAGCGUCUGGCUGGAGCCGAGGAUGGGUCCUCCAGUUUUUGGCACAGAUGUUCCGGAGCCCAGGAAGCAUCCCAUAACCAACCUUCAGCCCCACCGCCACCCCCAGCGUAUUCCAGAGCCGCUUCCAAACCACAGCCUAUCCUCUGCUCCAUUUCGCUCUUGCCCUCACAGACUUGCAGCCUCCAUGCUCUGAGACAACUGUGCGUAGGUACAUCUCUGUUGGUGAAAAUGAUGCUUAAGAACCCCAAAGAUUAAAGGAAACAAUGUUAAGGGCUUUUGUGAGGAUAAAAGAUAAUGGGUAUAUGGAAUAGAAACAUUUCAAAUGAAGAAUCAAAGCAUUUCAAUCAAUCCACUUGGUUGUAAAAAAAAAAACAAACAAACAAAAACAAAAAAACACCAAAGCAACUUGAAUAGUAAAUGGCACCAGAAGAUGGCGGUCUGCUCCAUAACCAGAGCAAGUGCAGUGGGAAAGCUGGACUCUCAUACCCACUCACAUUCAUGCCUUAUAUAAGCCUCUCCUCCUGGUUAACCUUAGCAGGGGAGUGAUUCCUCUGCUGGUUGCUGUUUUUCCUUUUCUCUUACCCUAUUCCUAACCUCUUUGCUUCUCUCUUUCUUUCCUUGUGUCUCUUCCUUCUCUUUUCUUUUUUCUUUUAACAUAUAGGGUAUUUUUUUCUUUUAACAUAUAGGGUAUUUGCCUUCAUUUUGUUUAUUUCCAUUUGUUUCCUUCUUCAUUCAUGUUCAUCUCUGCUAUUCCUUCUCCCUCCAGAAGGGAUGGAAACCCUAUUUUCUUUUCUCCAAGACCAUGGUUGGUCUGCUUCCCUCACUCGGGCUCCUUGACAGUCUUCUAGAAGAGAGGAGGAGGAAAAGAAGCAGUUCCUGAUGUUACAAAUGAACAAGGAUCUCCCAGAAAACAGGAAGAAUGUCAUGCACCGUGUGGAUCACCUUCAGUUCAAAGUUGCAGCAAAGUGAAGAAACUACUGGAAGCCACCCAGCAAUGCACUGUUUAGUCAUCAAUUAGGAGCCCAUGGGAGGAUAAUAGGGAGACUGGGUGGAGGCUCAGUGUGUAAUAAUCUCUUGUCUAAUGUAUGUGUGUCACUGCCAUGUUGUAUGAACAAUAGUGAGGGCUCACAUUUACUUAACACUUGUGUACUCAAAUCUGGGUUUUUCUUUCUUUCCAGAACUAUGACUCAAUCAUAAAAUCUGUUUUGUUUGCAUGCAUGCCCAAAACAACCCUAUAGGUAGAACAUUAUCAUUAUCUCUGUUUUAGAGAUGAGGAAACAGGCUCAGAGAAGCUCAGAAAUUUGUUCAAGAUCGCACAGCUAGUAAAUGGCAGAAGUAGGAUUGUGAACCCAGGGAAUCUCCAGAGCCUCUGUGUAACCAUGAUAUUAUAUUUUUUUCCUCUUUAAAAACAAAAUUAAAAACCUUGCUAUAAUCUCUUAUUAGGAAAAGAUCAUAGUUUCUGAUUGUGCUCUGCCUUCCCAUCCUGCCAAUCUCCUGGACUGGGUUGGAGAAGACAGGGGGCCCCCGAGCUUCAUCUGUGACUCAAAGGAGUUUGCUGCUGUCUCCUGUGUCAGUGUCCCAUCUAUGCAGGAUCAGCACAGGACCCCCCUCGCCUUCCUACUUACACUCUAGCCUUUCCAUACAUUGGCAUUCUCUCCUGGCCCUAGCCAGCGCUCCACACCUGUUGGUGUGCCACCUCCCUCCCUCUUCCCCCACUGGCCUUGAACAGGCAAACCCCCUAAUGUUGCCACUAGGUUGGGUCCAUGACUAGGACACCUGCUAGACGGUCUGUGCUUGGGCCUUUUCUAGGAAUCCUGAUGUUACUGGGUAAGUGCCAACUCUGUGGGCAGAAUGCUAAUGAUAAUCCUGUUCCCUAACCUCUUUCUCAGAAGUACCCUGGCUCACUCUCCCCAAUCUCAGCUUUAUAGAACAACAUUUUGGUCUUGAUUAUUCCCAUAUCAAGCUGCCCCAGGGCUUCGGUAAGCUGUUAGUUGCCCCACUGCCUCAAGGCUGGGUCUGGCUGAGCUACUUUCUUAUGCACACAAAUAAUGGGUGUCUCCUUGGAACCUGACACAAAACUAUCAGUGCUACCAAGCCUUGUAAAAUAGGGAAGAAACUAAUAUUUCUUGAGUGGCUUCUGAGUGCCUGGUGCUUUCACGGCUCUCUGGAGAGAUUCCUUGCCCUGAUGCCUUUGGUGUGUACUCCUCUCCCAGGACUUCAGCACUGAGAUUUUCCCAACCCCCUGGCUUUUCCUCACCUUGGGUUGAGUUGAUCCGGCACUACCACAAACCCCAGCAUCUGCAAACCAACCAAGAUUAGGCAGUAUGCCCUUUCCGUCUUGCACUGCUCUUCCAAAACUUCCAUCUGUAUUUCUCACACCCUCAGUAAGCAAAGCUGAGUGUGCGUAGACAGAGCUGCAUCCACUGCUUUCUCCCAACGGGUGCAGUCUAAUCUGACACGGGGAACACUAGGAGUUUAGCGGAAUCUUCAGCCACCCUAUUAAUGUGUUACGCAUUAGGCAUUGUAGUGGAAACUACUCUGACGGCUCAUGAUUAUAUGAACAGGAGCAAUUUGGAAUAUAACAUGUCAGCCGUGGACUGGGAGGUGCCGUAAGAGAAAACACUACCAGGGUCAUAGGCUUGGGUCCUUGAGGCAACCUAGCAGGGACGCUGUUGCCCAUUCCUCUCAUCCAGACUGCAGGUAUCUUCCUACACCUCCCUGUCCCAUAGCCUCCGUCCUGUUUUUUGUUUGUUUGUUUUUCUUUGUGAAUGUAGAAAAACAUUUCAUCAUGAGCCCUAGCUCCUCAGUUUUCCACCUAACACCCACAUUCCCUUGUUUCUAACUGCCGUGUUUUUCUGGAGCCUGCUGGGAUCUUUGCAGUUUGCAGAUCAUAGAAUCAGACAUGAAAAGGCUUCUCUUCAGACGUCAUUGGUUCCUGGCUCCUUUACAGAUGAGAACACAGGCCCAGAGGCAUAAAGAGAAACAAAAGACAAUGAUGGUAUUCUCUGUGUCCUCAGCUUUGGCACUUUUGUUGAUGUUGCUAAGGAGCAGUGACCUUGCUAAAAAGACUGAAUAAUCCACCCACUGAAUAGCUAACCUGGGAAGGAAAUGAAAAUUUCCUAUGUGGAUCUCCCCAAAUCCAUUGUUGUCACCAGGCCCUCCCAGAGCCUCCUCAGUUCCUUCACAGUGCAACCCUGUGUACUUGGCCCGCAACCCAAUAGUAUUGUGCCUCACUUCGCCUUCCAUGGGCAACUGCCCUCCCUUCUGGACAUAAAACCUCAUAUUUUAAAUAAAGUUGAAAUAUGAAAAGAAA